RNAcentral lists this transfer RNA (71 nucleotides) under Aptenodytes forsteri (emperor penguin). RNAcentral describes it as "tRNA-Glu". It matches the Rfam family "tRNA". Rfam says of the family: Transfer RNA (tRNA) molecules are approximately 80 nucleotides in length. Their secondary structure includes four short double-helical elements and three loops (D, anti-codon, and T loops). Lineage: Eukaryota; Metazoa; Chordata; Aves; Sphenisciformes; Spheniscidae. The record is from RNAcentral.
GUUCCUGUAGUUGAGAGGUACAACGGUGGCUUUUCAGGCCGCAAUCCUUGGAAAAAAGCCAAGCAGGAACU